Molecule: ribosomal RNA, 494 nt
Filed under: uncultured bacterium
Lineage: Bacteria
Description: partial 16S ribosomal RNA
Rfam family: Bacterial small subunit ribosomal RNA
Source: RNAcentral
GACGAACGCUGGCGACGCGCUUAACACAUGCAAGUCGAACGGAAAGGCCUGCUUUCCCUUGUGGAUUGCGGGUACUCGAGUGGCGAACGGGUGAGUAACACGUGAGUGAUCUGCCCCCAACUUGGGUAUAAGCCUGGGAAACUGGGUCUAAUUCCCGAUAGGACUGCAGGGUGGUGCCUGUGGUGGAAAACGAUUUUCUAGUGGUUGGGGAUGAGCUCGCGGCCUAUCAGCUUGUUGGUGGGGUAAUGGCCUACCAAGGCGGCGACGGGUAGCCGGCCUGAGAGUGUGGACGGCCACAUUGGGACUGAGAUACGGCCCAGACUCCUACGGGAGGCAGCAGUGGGGAAUAUUGCACAAUGGGCGGAAGCCUGAUGCAGCGACGCCGCGUGGGGGAUGACGGCCUUCGGGUUGUAAACUCCUUUCGACCGCGAGGAAGCCACCUGGUUGGAAGGGUGGUGACGGUAGUGGUAGAAGAAGCACCGGCUAACUACGUG